Molecule: ribosomal RNA, 352 nt
Filed under: uncultured bacterium
Lineage: Bacteria
Description: bacterial SSU rRNA
Rfam family: Bacterial small subunit ribosomal RNA
Source: RNAcentral
GAGUUUGUAUCCUGGCUCAGGAUGAACGCUAGCUACAGGCUUAACACAUGCAAGUCGAGGGGAAACGACAUCGAAAGCUUGCUUUUGAUGGGCGUCGACCGGCGCACGGGUGAGUAACGCGUAUCCAACCUGCCCACCACUUGGGGAUAACCUUGCGAAAGUAAGACUAAUACCCAAUGACGUCUCUAGAAGACAUCUGAAAGAGAUUAAAGAUUUAUCGGUGAUGGAUGGGGAUGCGUCUGAUUAGCUUGUUGGCGGGGUAACGGCCCACAAGGNGACGAUCAGUAGGGGUUCUGAGGAGGAAGGUCCCCCACAUUGGAACUGAGACACGGUCCAAACUCCUACGGAGGCA